UGGGGAAUAUUGGACAAUGGGGGCAACCCUGAUCCAGCGAUGCCGCGUGUGUGAAGAAGGCCUGCGGGUUGUAAAGCACUUUUGUUGGGGAGGAAAGUAGUUGGGUUAAUACCCUGACUGCAUGACGUUACCCAAAGAAUAAGCACCGGCUAACUCUGUGCCAGCAGCCGCGGUAAUACAGAGGGUGCGAGCGUUAAUCGGAAUGACUGGGCGUAAAGGGCGCGUAGGUGGCUAGUUAAGUGAGAUGUGAAAUCCCUGGGCUUAACCUAGGAACUGCAUUUCAUACUGAUUAGCUGGAGUAGAGGAGAGGGUAGUGGAAUUUCAGGUGUAGCGGUGAAAUGCGUAGAUAUCUGAAGGAACACCAGUGGCGAAGGCGACUGCCUGGCCUCAUACUGACACU
RNAcentral lists this ribosomal RNA (400 nucleotides) under uncultured bacterium. RNAcentral's name for it is "partial 16S ribosomal RNA". It matches the Rfam family "Bacterial small subunit ribosomal RNA", at positions 355 to 747 of the family's 1533-position model. The record is from RNAcentral.